This is an RNA transcript of Durio zibethinus, 1501 nucleotides long. It is a transcript of the gene named cinnamoyl-CoA reductase-like SNL6, with no coding region annotated. The record is from RefSeq and is a predicted model, not a curated record. Lineage: Eukaryota; Viridiplantae; Streptophyta; Magnoliopsida; Malvales; Malvaceae.
UUCUUCUUCUUCUUCUUGGCCUGCGUUGCUGAAAUUAUCUGUGUCAAUUAAUUAACCAUGGCAGGAUCAGCUAAUUCUAAUUCCAAUGGCAAUGAUUCGAGGACAGUUUGUGUAAUGGAUGCCUCCGGUCACCUUGGUUCGGCCCUUGUGCACUUGCUCUUGCAUAGAGGCUAUACUAUCCAUGCUGCACUCCAACACCAUGGUGAAUUCCAAUCAUUUGAGGGGCUGCCUUGUGGUAAUGAAAAACUAAGGGUAUUUCGUGCAGAUCCCUUUGACUACCACAGCAUAACAAAUGCAUUGAAGGGAUGUUGUGGUUUGUUUUACUGCUUUGAGCCUCCCUCUGACCACUCCACCUAUGAUGAAUUUAUGGCAGAAGUUGAGGUGAGAGCUGCACACAAUGUGUUGGAAGCAUGUGCUCAAACGCAUACAAUGGAAAAGGUCGUUUUCACAUCGUCUGUAACAGCCGUGAUCUGGAACGAAGGUCGCAACACGGCUUCGUCCGAUCUCGAUGAAAAGCAUUGGAGUGACAUCAAUUUUUGCAAGAAGUUUAAGUUAUGGCAUGCAUUAUCAAAGACACUAGCAGAGAAGUCAGCCUGGGCACUGGCAAUGGACCGAGCAAUAAACAUGGUGACCAUUAAUGGAGGUUUGUUGAUGACUCCUGACAUAACCAUCACAAAUCCAUAUCUAAAAGGAGCUGCUGAGAUGUAUGAGGAUGGUGUAUUUGUUACCGUUGAUCUCAGGUUCAUCGCGGACGCUCACAUAUGUGUGUUCGAAGACAUCUCAUCCUACGGACGAUAUUUAUGCUUCAACCAUGUAAUCAAUUGCAGCCAUGACGCUGAUAAGCUUGCCCAAAGGCUAUUACCAUCCUCUGAUUCUUCACCUCCUCAAAGUUCGGGGGAAACAAUGAUCUACCAAGAGAGAAUAAGCAAUAAGAAACUGAACAACAUGAUGAAGGAGUUUGAGAAUGAUCAACUUCUGACUAUAACUGAUCUGUGAACUGAUGAGACAGGCUACUGUCUUUAUUAUUUUCCAGAAGCUUUGUAUGUUUUUAUCUCAAAAGAAAGGGAACUGGCCACCAAGACUUGAUAGAACUUGUUGCGGAAAUUUGCACUAUGAUCUAAUUAUUCUACCAAAAUUUCUAAUCCAGGAAAAUAACUGUUGGGAUGAAAAACACUGACCUUUGAGAAUAAACUUUGAUCUGAUUGGGCACGGCACUGACAAGGAUAUAACUCGUAUAUAAGCUUCUGCGUGAAAUUUCAGCAACAUGCCAAUUUGCGAAGAACUUCUUAGAUGCGACAAGUAUUUAUGCCAUUACAGGGAUAACGAUCGAAGAAACGACCGGGCAACAUUAGUCAGGUAUAGGUUGUAAACGAGUCAAGCUACUUGUGAGCUAUACGUGUUUGACUCGAAAAAUAUUUGAACCCUACUUAUUCAUCGUUGAGUCGAAUUUAAAUUUGAACUGUACAAAUAAUAAAUUAAAUCGAAUUCAAAUAAUUCAACU